GUUCAGGUGGCGGAAUUGGUAGACGCGCUGGCUUGAGGGGCCAGUGGGAAUUUUUUUCCCGUGGAGGUUCAAGUCCUCUCCUGAGCACAA
Molecule: transfer RNA, 90 nt
Filed under: Candidatus Magasanikbacteria bacterium CG10_big_fil_rev_8_21_14_0_10_38_6
Lineage: Bacteria; Candidatus Magasanikiibacteriota
Description: tRNA-Leu
Rfam family: tRNA
About the family: Transfer RNA (tRNA) molecules are approximately 80 nucleotides in length. Their secondary structure includes four short double-helical elements and three loops (D, anti-codon, and T loops).
Source: RNAcentral